UUUUUGCGCAUCAAUGACCGCUGGUGUUUUUACAAUCUACCUGUGUGACAUCAUAAAAAUCUGUGAUCGAUUUAAUCACAACCUUCAUUUGGACAACAACAAGAGUUUUUAACAGGUUUCAAAAAUGGAAUCAACAUCAACAAACGGGUGGUCAACAUCAAAGAAAUCUCUAUAAAACAUAAAAUCGAAGCAUGUUGAAGAAGAUUUGGAACUGGAUUAAAAAUGGCGGUCACGUCUACAUCAUCAUGGUUUUGUCCCUAUCGUACCUUCUGUAUUUAUACGUGAAUCGGUUCCAUUUGCAAGACGAGUCAAAGACUACGGAGGGCAGAAAAUACUCGUGGAUGAACGAUUUCGCAGACUUUUUACUUAUAUUUGAAGAUUUCACAGACUAAUUAAAAGAACAAAAUACAUGCUGCUCUCAAAGCUGAAA
Molecule: long non-coding RNA, 430 nt
Organism: Magallana angulata
Lineage: Eukaryota; Metazoa; Mollusca; Bivalvia; Ostreida; Ostreidae
Exons: 3
Source: RefSeq, a predicted model, not a curated record